This 253-nucleotide ribosomal RNA is filed under the name uncultured bacterium. RNAcentral's name for it is "partial 16S ribosomal RNA". It matches the Rfam family "Bacterial small subunit ribosomal RNA", at positions 524 to 776 of the family's 1533-position model. The record is from RNAcentral.
UACGAAGGGUGCGAGCGUUGUUCGGAAUUAUUGGGCGUAAAGGGUUCGUAGGCGGGAGCUUAAGUCAAGUGUGAAAUCCUCAGGCUUAACCUGAGACGUGCACCUGAAACUGGGCUUCUUGAGUGUUGGAGAGGGUAGUGGAAUUGCUGGUGUAGGAGUGACAUCCGUAGAGAUCAGCAGGAACACCGGAGGCGAAGGCGACUGCCUGGCCGACAACUGACGCUGAGGAACGAAAGCGUGGGGAGCAAACAGG